UUUUUCUACUAAUGUUUUUUAGUUAACCUUGAAUAUAUGAAAUAGUUGGUUCAUUGUUAAAUGUUCUUAGCCAGUCCCUUAGGUGAAGGAUGUAGAUUAUUUCGAUCUUUAUAUUAUCUUUAUAUCGAUCUUUAUAUUAAUGGGGUUUUUGGUUUUACAUAACCAAACAUUUUUGAAGUCCUCAAAUUAAUAUUGGAAAUAAUUACCAUUUCUCUGUACGUUUUAAACCGAUUGAACAUCCAAUAUAUCUAUAAAUUUUCAUGUCCAAUAUAUCUAUAAAUUGUCAUGUAACUAUCUUUGUCUGGUUCAAUACCAUUUCAUUAAGGUAUAUAAAAUGUAUGUAGAUGGCUAUUACUAUCUUAAUCUCAUGUUAUUUCAGAUAAGUCAUAUUUUAUAUUCCUAUUUCAAAUGCAAUGCCAUUAUUUGUUCAUGUUUUCAAACUCAAAAUAGUUCAAGGUUACCUGAGAUUAGUUUUUGUUCCAUUUUUAAUGGUUGUUUUUUUUAUGUUAUUGCUUCUAAAAAGUUUUCCUCGAUUAUUUCUUCUUCUCUUUACUUUUGUUUACCGGUUUAUAUGAGAAAUCAAACGAAGUAUAUGUUUUUAGCCAUUUGGAAGAAAACUAACCCUCAUGUGAUGUCGUACCCACCUUGACUACCUAGGGAAGCCACCUUGACCUUAUUGCAGCUACCGCCAAGUCAAACUGGGAGUAUGUUUUGGGAACAAGCUUUUUGGGGGACAUUCCAGCUCCUUUUCGUCCUGCCACCUGGGCCUACGGGGGGGCAUGGAGGUGCAUCAUAGUGAUGCUCAUUUUCUAGGAUGCAACCGCAACCUCGUUUGGGAACAUUUAGUGAGGAGUUUUAGUAACUAUUGGUUUUUUUUAUAUUUCAGACUAUCUGUUAAAUACACUAUGUUUUUUUUCCAGAUUUAGGUUACCUCUGUUUUUUUUGACAUAUGUAUUUGUAUAUUAGAUUAUUUGGUUCCCAAACUUUGUAUCUACGGUAACUUCUUGUGCACAGGAAUAAGCCUAGAGAAAAUUAGGUUUUUAAUACUUUAUUAUUGCUUUGAUAUUGGUUUAUGUAAUUCGGGUAAAUUUAUUUUGUAACAUUACUUGCUUGUUUCCCAAAUAUUGUAUUUAUUCGCUUUAUUUCGUUUGUUCGGUUACUUCGUCGUUACUUUAUUUCAUUGCAUUUGCUCGGUUAAUUUAGGUCAUUUUGUCGGUAUUUUUCUUAACUUCACUUCUAUAACGUUUAUUCAUUUGUAUAUUUAAUUUUGCUUUAUUCAGUAUUGUAUUUUCUCUUAGUGAGGCUUGGGCCUAUUUAUUUGUAUUAUUUUCAUCUUCGUCGGUUUCCUUUAGUUGUACGUAGCAGGCGUACUAUAACCAUUUGGUAGAAGACUUAUGUAAUUUUGUACCCUAUAUGUUAGUGAGAGGUACUUAUACCUGUAAUUUUGUAACAGGUAACAUUGUUGUUAUCUUAGGUUGAACAUAACUUUUGCAAACUUUUGUCAUGUUAGAGUCACAUAAUAUGAACUUGUUUAACUCAGAGAUUGUUAAAAAUCUAGUAGUUAUUUUUAAUAAAUAUGUAUUUAUUUUGUAUAUCAUGAAUUUUAUUAUUCCUUUAUGUUCAUUAUUACAGGUUUAAUAUAUUUAAUAUUUGACAGCAGUAUAAGAUACCUGGGAAAAUGAUCGAAGAUCAUUUUCAUGGCGCCCAUGAUUAGUUAGUUUUAUUUAUUUUGUUCGUUUUUAGUCAUUAGUCAUCUCCAUUCAUUUUCAGUACAUUAUUCUUAUUUUAUUAUUUCAUCUUUUAGUCAUCAUUACUAUCUAUAUAGAGCUACUGUUCUUCGACAGGCAUGCAAACGAGCCGUAUCCAUCCUUGAGUGUCAAGUUGCUCUCUUGCAUCUAUAGCUAGCCAACUCUAUUCAGUUUGCCUCUGUCUCUUCCCACUUUACUUCUAUCCCUUCUAAUCCCCCUUUCUUCAGUACUACUGAAAAGUAGUAUUUUUUAUUUUUCCUACUUCGGCUCAACCGCUGAAGCCCCUUCAUUUUUAUUUUCAUAAGAGGCCCCAACUAGUUACCUUAGUCUUUUCUUUUCUUCUUUUUUUUCCUUACUUCUGUUGGAGUAUAUCUUUCUUUUUACUUUCACUCCAACAGAAGUUUUCUUAUUUUUGUUACACUGGCGCCCAACGUGGGGCCAACCGUUUAUGGUUUUAAGACAGUAGUUCUUUUAGUUCAUUUUUAUUUUAUUGGAAUUUUUGUAUUAUUAACUUUUUGAUAUCUUUGUAUAUAUGUUAUUUCUGAUUUAUUUUUGUCUUUAAUUUUUAUUAAUAAUAAACAGGUAGACUUAUACUGCUUCUUUUGGUUUUGAUUAGUUUAUUUCGAUACCUCAUUUUUAGUUUUAGUGGUACAGCUCAUAUUUUAGUUUGAAUUUUGUAUUUUUAUUGGAAACGUAUUUGUGUAUUUAGAAUGAAUAUACAUGACUGACAUUAUGUUCUAUUAUUAUGGAUUUUUAGUCCUUCUACCAAUGGUAGUAUGUUUGCACGUACAAUUAAUUAUUGACUAUAUGCAUAUAUUUUUUUUCUAGUAUGGUUAUAUUUUACACCUAACUAGAAAUUAUUUUCAGGAUUUAGGUACUUUAUUUACUAUAUUGAUUUGAUUUUUAUAUAUUUUGCUGGCAUUUUGAUUUGUUGGUGUGUCGCUAAUAUUUUCUCCAUAUGUAUAUUUGUCUUACAAACUUUAGAUUAUAUUUUAUAUUUGUUAUUUUUGAUAUUUGGGUUGUUUGGUAAGACAGGCACACACCACAAAGCAAUAUCAGUCCAGACAUUAGUUUCUAUACAUGAUACGUUGAAUUCGCAUGGUUCGGAUGGUUACAGAUGGUCAUCCAAACUAUUUUUCUUUAAUUGGUAGUGUUAAACAUAACAAUUAUAAUUAUUGUAUGAUAAAGUAGUUCCAUUAUCCAUCUCAGUUUCUAGUUUUGUUAAUGUUGGUAAUAUUAUACCAGUGUGGGUACCAUAAUAUAAUGCUCAUAGAAAUCAGAUACUUUAGGUUGAGAUUUAAAUAUAAAUUCUUUAUUAGUUAGGAAACAUUGAUUCUAUUUUUCUAUUAAGUUAUAGAACAAUCUUCAGAAGAAGAUUACCUUAACAGUGUUGUUCAAGCUAAUCUCUUCUUCUGUUUGUCUUUAGCUUAGCUCAAUCUUUAGUAUGGUUAGAAAUUUUAGUCUGAUAUUUUUUUUGUCAUCUGAUAAUGCAGGUACCUACAUACAUUGCUUGAUUUCAUCUUUGGCUUUGUUGUUGAUGACUUUUAAUUUAUUACUUAUUAAUUUAAUUAUUAUGUAGUACUUUAUGUAUGAGUUUAACUUUUUUUUGGUAUUAGGCAUGGUGCAUUGUAAUUAUUAUUAUGAGUCAAUGUUAUUAAUUGCUAAUCCUGUCAGUAGGAUUAUACAAUUAAUCAGAACUUCACUUGUAUUUUUGUUUAGUUUUUGCACACCUAACCCCUUAAGUUAGAAGGGUUGUUGAAUUACUGUAUAUUUAUAUACUUAUUUGGACAGGUAAGCUCAUACAAGUACUCUUGUUUAAUAUGGAUAUUAUUAUGGAACUGUAUGUUAGGCACUACUUAUCUCAGGUUAUGUGUUAUAUUAUUUGGAAUAUUUGAUUACUUACUAAUUUUUUUUGAUCAUAUUUAUAUCUUAUUAUUGAAUUUGCCAUAUUGGAAAGAUGUGGUUUUUAAUUUGUUAUUGGGUUACUCUAUUAACAUUAUUUGUCUCCAAUAUCUUAAACACUUUAUAAUAAUUUAUAUCCUUCUAUCCUACACAGUAUGAUUCUGGAAUUAGUUUGGAAUUUUUAUGUAAGUAGGUAUGAAUUCUUGAGUCUUUCAUAUUUCUUCUUAGAAACUACUUAGUCUAUUGAUGCUCAAAGUUGGUGAAUACGUGGGUUCGAAGUUCAGCAAGGCGCCAUUGCUAUCCGAUUUCGCAAUCUAUGUCUUUCAUUGCAGAGUAGACAGAUGUUUAUCUAUCAUAAUAUUUCUGGUCAGGAAAUGCCUGCAGCAUGUCCUAACUAUUCUUGUCUAAUUAGUCCAAUUAUUCCAGUUACAUAUUUACAAUUUGAUAGGGAAGUGUUUAGUUUAUAUUAUGUCUCGUACUUCAUAGUAUGUCUGUUUGUUGACUAUCCCUAUACAUAGUAGAUCCCUUAAUUUAGUAUUUGAGGUGUUUAGACAAAUGAGUUGUUCAUCAGAGUAUAUUCCCACUUCUUUCCUUAGGCAUUAGUUGCUAUUCAGAUUUUGGAACAUUUCCUGAAUAAUUCCACGUAUGUGAGAGCGCAUGAUUCUGCAGUUUUAAUUAAAAUUGGUUGCCCGUUCUCGUCAAUUUUUUUUUUCUAUCACUUAUCACAUAUUUUUUUUUCCUAUCACUUAUCAUAGUGUCAUAAAACUUAUAAGUUCACCAUCCAUUCUAUUUUCUUUCUCACUUAUUCUUACGUUAUAAGUACUUUAUCUGAGUCUGGUUAUUCUCAUACAUCUGUUGUAGCAACAUGCUAUAGUUCGCGAAUACCAGCACGAAUUAGUUUAUGUAGUUUCUAUAAUAUUUUAGUCAAUACACUUUAGGUAUUUAUCUUACUUUUGAUUUAGUUUGAUUACAUCUCUGUUACUUAGUCUGUUAGUAAUUUUUUUUGUGACUUAUUUUGAUUACUUAGUUUAGAUAGGUUCAUAUUACCGGAUGAGGGUGUAUGUAGACCUAAUUUAUUUAUUUUGUUCAGUAUUAGUUACCAUUGGAUCCAAUAAUUUAGUAUAUUUAGUAUUAGUAAGAAUUGGUCCAUAAAUUUGCCUGAUCGUUCUUCUUUGGAUAUACUCCUAUAUAAAUCUGGUGUCCAUUGAUAGUCCGAUUCUGGAUAAGUGUCCGAUUCUUCAUUUAUUUUGUGUAUUUGGUUGGAUAGGUUCGUAUUACCGGAUGUGGGUGUACGUAGACCUGAUCUGUUUAUGUGGUUUAGUAUUGGUGUGAAUUGGUCCAUAAAUUUGCCUGGUCGUUCUUCUUUGGAUAUGCCUUUUAUGAAUCUGGUGUCCACUGAUAGUCCGACUUUGGAUUAAGUGUCCGAUUCCACAUCUAUUUUGGUUAUUGAGUUUUGGAUUCCUUUGGUAUGUUCAGCAUUGGUAUUAUUUGGCAUUAGUGAGAAUUGUUCCAUAAAUCUUCCUGAUUGUUCUUCUCUGGAUAUACUAUUAUGAAUCUGGUGUCCAUUGUUAGUUCAAUUUUGGAUUAAGUGUUCAAUUCUUUACUUAUUUUAGUUACUGAUUUUUUUUUAUUCACUUUGGUAUAUUUACUUUUGAAAUGGUUCGAAUUGGCUCACAUCUUUUUCCUGGUUGUUCCGUCCUUGGAUAUACCCUUUACAAAUCUGAUGUCCAUGGAUAGUUCAAUUUUGGUUUUAGUGCCCAACUCGACACUUAGCAUUAUUAUGAACUUUAGUACAAUAUUUAGUUUUGUUUGACUUUUAAGCAAUAUGUUAAUAUUUGGUAGCAGAGAGUAACAUGUAACAUUUUAGUAUGAAUUUGAGUAAUUUAUUUAUUUUUCCUGAUCAUUAGCUUAUUCUUAUUGGUAAUCUUGCGAAUCAACGUGGAUUGUUAGACUAUUGUAAAUUUAGUUGUUAAUAUUUUGAAGUUUAAAAAAAAAAUUUUUUUUUUCGUUAAAAAUUUUUUUUUCCCGAGUAGGAGGGGAUUGUAACGGUCCACCCGUUAUAUUAUCAUUUUUAGCGCUGUAAUUAUUUUUAAAAAAAUAAUUAUUUUCUCUUGACCUCCCAUUUAAAUUCUUUAAUUUAUCGUAAAGGACUUCUCAUGUGACGUCACACUGUACGGAACAUAGUUGUUGAACCGUUCCUUGUCGUUUAAUUCGUGUUCCGUGAGAGUUUGACGUUUUCCUCGCUGACUGUGGGAGGAAUGAGAGGCACUUGGCCGGUGGCUGCGAGGUUGACAGGUUGGUGUUGGUGGUUAGUACCGUAAAUGGCGGUUAAUUUCUUCGAAAUUAAUUUUUAUUUCAACUAAGUUUGGAAGUAUAGUAAAAAGUUACCACCACUUGUUUCCUGGAGUACGGGUUUCCUGGAGUAAGGAUGGGAGUACCAUCAGUGGAAGAGGAAUAAAAAAUUAACCGCCAUUUGGAAGAAAACUAACCCUCAUGUGAUGUCGUACCCACCUUGACUACCUAGGGAAGCCACCUUGACCUUAUUGCAGCUACCGCCAAGUCAAACUGGGAGUAUGUUUUGGGAACAAGCUUUUUGGGGGACAUUCCAGCUCCUUUUCGUCCUGCCACCUGGGCCUACGGGGGGCAUGGAGGUGCAUCAUAGUGAUGCUCAUUUUCUAGGAUGCAACCGCAACCUCGUUUGGGAACAUUUAGUGAGGAGUUUUAGUAACUAUUGGUUUUUUUUAUAUUUCAGACUAUCUGUUAAAUACACUAUGUUUUUUUUCCAGAUUUAGGUUACCUCUGUUUUUUUUGACAUAUGUAUUUGUAUAUUAGAUUAUUUGGUUCCCAAACUUUGUAUCUACGGUAACUUCUUGUGCACAGGAAUAAGCCUAGAGAAAAUUAGGUUUUUAAUACUUUAUUAUUGCUUUGAUAUUGGUUUAUGUAAUUCGGGUAAAUUUAUUUUGUAACAUUACUUGCUUGUUUCCCAAAUAUUGUAUUUAUUCGCUUUAUUUCGUUUGUUCGGUUACUUCGUCGUUACUUUAUUUCAUUGCAUUUGCUCGGUUAAUUUAGGUCAUUUUGUCGGUAUUUUUCUUAACUUCACUUCUAUAACGUUUAUUCAUUUGUAUAUUUAAUUUUGCUUUAUUCAGUAUUGUAUUUUCUCUUAGUGAGGCUUGGGCCUAUUUAUUUGUAUUAUUUUCAUCUUCGUCGGUUUCCUUUAGUUGUACGUAGCAGGCGUACUAUAACCAUUUGGUAGAAGACUUAUGUAAUUUUGUACCCUAUAUGUUAGUGAGAGGUACUUAUACCUGUAAUUUUGUAACAGGUAACAUUGUUGUUAUCUUAGGUUGAACAUAACUUUUGCAAACUUUUGUCAUGUUAGAGUCACAUAAUAUGAACUUGUUUAACUCAGAGAUUGUUAAAAAUCUAGUAGUUAUUUUUAAUAAAUAUGUAUUUAUUUUGUA
Diabrotica virgifera virgifera (western corn rootworm) is the source of this 7108-nucleotide long non-coding RNA. RefSeq lists it as uncharacterized. The transcript has 2 exons. The record is from RefSeq and is a predicted model, not a curated record. Lineage: Eukaryota; Metazoa; Arthropoda; Insecta; Coleoptera; Chrysomelidae.